CAUUACUGGGCUCGCGGUCGAGUUGUAAUUUGUAGAAGGUGCUUCGGGAGCGGCGAAGGUCCAAGUCCCUUGGAACUGGGCGUCGUAGAGGGUGAGAACCCCGUACAGGACCCCUCGCCAAACCCGUGUGAAGCCCUUUCGACGAGUCGAGUUGUUUGGGAAUGCAGCUCUAAAUGGGUGGUAAAUUUCAUCUAAAGCUAAAUAUCUGCCGGAGACCGAUAGCGCACAAGUAGAGUGAUCGAAAGAUGAAAAGCACUUUGAAAAGAGAGUCAAACAGUACGUGAAAUUGUUGAAAGGGAAGCGCUCGGAACCAGACUCGCUCGCGGGUGCUCAGCCGCCCCCCGGGGCGGUGUACUCGCCCGCGAUCGGGCCAGCAUCGGUUCCGGCGGCCGGACAAAGGCCCUGGGAACGUAGCUCUCCCCGGAGAGUGUUAUAGCCCGGGGCGUAAUGCGGCCCGCCGGGACCGAGGACCGCGCUUCUGCUAGGAUGCUGGCGUAAUGGUUUCCAGCGACCCGUCUUGAAACACGGACCAAAGGAGUGGACCAACCGCGCGAGUGUUUGGGCGUUAAACCCCGACGCGCAAUGAAAAUAAACGUAGGUGGGAGCCUUCGGGUGCACCAUCGACCGAUCCUGAUGUCUUCGGACGGAUUUGAGUAUGAGCGUUGCUGGUCCGACCCGAAAGAUGGUGAGCUAUGCGUGAAUAGGGUGAAGCCAGAGGAAACUCUGGUGGAGGCUCGCAGCGGUUCUGACGUGCAAAUCGAUCGUCAAAUUUGCGUAUAGGGGCGAAAGACUAAUCGAGCUUU
RNAcentral lists this ribosomal RNA (803 nucleotides) under Asteristion leucophthalmum. RNAcentral's name for it is "partial 28S ribosomal RNA". It matches the Rfam family "Eukaryotic large subunit ribosomal RNA", at positions 120 to 943 of the family's 3401-position model. Lineage: Eukaryota; Fungi; Ascomycota; Lecanoromycetes; Ostropales; Graphidaceae. The record is from RNAcentral.